CCCUUAGAUGUCCUGGGCUGCACGCGCGCUACACUGAUGUGUCCAGUAAGCACCUAACCUCUUCCGAAAGGAACGGGUAACCUUUGCAAAGCACAUCGUGAUGGGGAUAGAUUAUUGCAAUUAUUAGUCUUGAACGAGGAAUUCCUAGUAAGCACAAGUCAUCAGCUUGUGUUGAUUACGUCCCUGCCCUUUGUACACACCGCCCGUCGCUCCUACCGAUUGAAUGGCUUAGUGAGCCUUUGGGAUUGGCAGCUUGUACCGGCAACGGUAGCAGGCCGCUGAAAACUUAGGCAAACUUGGUCAUUUAGAGGAAGUAAAAGUCGUAACA
Molecule: ribosomal RNA, 328 nt
Filed under: uncultured eukaryote
Lineage: Eukaryota
Description: partial 18S ribosomal RNA
Rfam family: Eukaryotic small subunit ribosomal RNA
Source: RNAcentral